UACGAAGGGGGCUAGCGUUGCUCGGAAUCACUGGGCGUAAAGGGCGCGUAGGCGGCCAUUCAAGUCAGAGGUGAAAGCCCAAGGCUCAACCUUGGAAUUGCCUUUGAUACUGUUUGGCUUGAGACCGGAAGAGGUUAGUGGAACUGCGAGUGUAGAGGUGAAAUUCGUAGAUAUUCGCAAGAACACCAGUGGCGAAGGCGGCUAACUGGUCCGGUUCUGACGCUGAUGCGCGAAAGCGUGGGUAGCAAACAGG
This 253-nucleotide ribosomal RNA is filed under the name uncultured bacterium. RNAcentral's name for it is "partial 16S ribosomal RNA". It matches the Rfam family "Bacterial small subunit ribosomal RNA", at positions 524 to 776 of the family's 1533-position model. The record is from RNAcentral.